Gallus gallus (chicken) is the source of this 3250-nucleotide long non-coding RNA. The record is from Ensembl. Lineage: Eukaryota; Metazoa; Chordata; Aves; Galliformes; Phasianidae.
CUCAGCUACAACAACCAAACAUUGGCAUGCCUUUAACAGUCUGAGUUUAAACCAGGGCAUGGAGAUGGUGCUGUGCUGUGGUUGGCUCAAGUUAUGGCAAAUCCCUCACCAUGAAAGGCCUGCAUGCUGAUGGACUCGAGGUGUCUGCCAUCAGAUCCCUCACUAUGGACUGCAUGCUGACAGACUUCCCUGGGCCUGCUACCUGAGACCUGCUGCUUCCUCCCGGACUUACUCUGCGGCUUCUUCCUGGACCCACCCGGUACCUGCACCCUCUCAUUGCCCAAGACCAGCCUCGCUGCUCCUGCCCUUCGGCCUCGGACCAUUGGAACGGCGUGUAAUGGGCCGUGUAACGGGACUACUGCUGGAUCCUGGUGGUGACUAUCCCCGCUUUACGCAAUUCUUGCUUCUUUCUAUCUUUUCUAUCACCCACCUUCCCUUCCCCAUCACCCCAAUCCGUAAUAGUGUCUGUCCUCCCCUUUCUUCAUUUCCUUUAUUAACAUUUGUAAUAAACUGGUCCGACCAACAUUUGAACCGUUGCUUCUUAAUCUCAUGCCGGGUAUACAUACAUCAAAGAACCUCCUCUCCCUCCUAUAAAUUGGAGCGAGGCACAUACACACAGGGCAUGAUGGAUCUGAGUGUGUACAACUGUCACAAGAGGCAGUCAGCACUGCGCUGCACCCUCUCCAACCCCUGGUUCUAGCCCAGGCAGUCCCAGUCACAAAGCAAUAGUCUGAUUGCUGAGUGAUAGGAACCCACCUGGGGCAGAGCCAUUGCCAUGACGGUGUGUCGCAGGGGUUGCAUGGGCUGCAUUGCAAGCUGUGCUGGGCCGCAUGUGGUCUGUGGGCCACUGGUUAGACAUGCCUGAGGAAGGAUUUCUCAACCAUUCCUGGAAGAGUCCAGAAUAACGCCCAAGAAACAGACAAGUCAUGGGAGUGGACCUGUAUUCAGUAUCUGAACCAAGAUUUGGCUGGUGUCUGGUGUCUCAAUCAGUCCUGGAACUGGAGCCAAGUGUAUUUGAUGAAAGUCCAUUCUUCAGUAAAUACAUGAAGAUCCACAGGAGAGAAGAAAAAAAAUCCUUGCCUAGCAAAACUAUAUAUUUUUUUCUAAGACUGAAUGUUGCAUUUGUUUUGACAUUUUAAAUAAUGCUAAAGUUGGUAUCUUUCCAUCUUGGAAUCUUCAGUCUUCUGCUCAAAAGCUCUAUAUUCUUCUCUGGUUUAUUUAAGUCUAACUCCAACUGUGUGCAUUACAUUCUGUUGGUUUUAUCUGUUCAUGGACCACAAGCAGAUGCCAAGCAUUUUCUGAAGAUAAAACUUUAGAGGCAAAUAGAAGUCACAAUGGGGCACAGUGUUUUGCUUCACUUGGCCACUGAGUGAAUUUUGAAGCCUAGAUUGCUUUUACACUUGCUAUACGACAGAAGGAAAGUACCAGUUAUGGAAAUGUCAGGUAAAUUGGAGAUAUUACAGUCCCAUGGGUGUUUAGACUCUUUUUCCCAAGUUAUUUGAGGAUAAUAAAUGCUGUGGAAUUUCCAUAUACAUUUUUGAGUGAGAAAUUGAAAUUCAUGUUUGAUGCAAUCUUGUCUAUUGACAAGCAGGAAAAGACUAAAUGCUUUGAAAUAUACAUAUAUAUUCUGAAACUAGAGAUAAGUCAUCUCCAUAAGGUAUGACAACACAAGAGAAAAGAGUAAUGUUAGUCCCUUGGAAAAAGAACAAGCUCACCUUUUUGUUUGGCUAUGCUUUUAAUAACAGAUCCUUUGAGCACUUCCAGUUCAUAACCUUCAUAAAGGCUACAAGUUGAAAGAACUGUCGGUAUGAAGAUAUGCAGACCCAUUCAGAAUUUCAGUGCAAAACACCCUAUGCAAACUCCAGCUGAAAAUGGAAUUGGUUCACAACCAGCCGAAAGAUUUGAAACUGCUGAAAGAAAAGAAGUUGUUUCUUAUUUUUUGCAGCUAAAGGCAUUCACAUCACUAACUGUGUGAAAUGAAAAAUCUGUAAUGCGUUCCUGCAUUUCAUUUGCUCACUUGCCUAUAUUAAAAAUAUAUUCACUAAAAAAUGUCAGGGAUUCUACUCUUUGUCUCAUGGUGAUCUAGCUUUUCUUUCUCCCAUAGACUAAAUCUAUUACUGAUGAUGUUAAGCCUGAAAGUAAAGCAUUAAAAGAAACUCUGAGAUUUUAAAAACCCCAAUAAAUUCUAAAUAGUAGGAGGAAUCUUGGAAUGGAUUGUUUCUGCAUGUAUGCCUGCUGAUGUCAUUUGCAGUAAAUUUCAACUGCAUUUUCAUAUUUAGUUGAGUCAAGGGGAAAAUGAUAAUCUCAAAGAUGACAAAGUUAGGUCACUCUGAAAUAGUAGCCAUAGAUUAGAGCUGGGAAUAGAACAAAGAACAACACUGAUGUCAGAGAGGAGUAAUUCUACUUGAGAAACGGUAAGAGUAAUUCCAUGGAGAUAGUAGGCUGUUAAAAGCAUAAGACCAAUUUGCCAACAUAAUGUAUUGCUUGGAACUGCUAUUUUUGCUCUAAAUAAAAAAAUAUAUAAAAAAAUUAUCUGGUAAACACAUAAAUAAGGUAGACUUAAGUGGCUAACAGACAUGUCAGUUUAUCACAAGAAAUAUUAGCUUUCUUGUCACUAUUACUUGGAGUAAGUCUCCUGUGUUAGACAUAGCUAAUAAUGACUGUUAUGAAACAGGUGUUUAAUACUCUUAUGAAAUUAGAUGGACAUUAGCUUCCUACUCAGAAAAUCACCUUCAUAAAUGGAGCUCUGCUUGGAUGGCCUUAAUGGAGGAAAAAAGGCCAUUUGUGGUCUCUUAAGACAGAACAGUUAUUCUGCUUCUCUUCGAGAAGUAAUUUCUUUUUACUAGCUUGCAAACUAAACAUCGUGACCUCCUGGCUUGUUGUACCUUCUACCAUAGAAUACCAGUGAAAUAAAACGGUGACUGUACUAUAUUUGGUGUUUUAAAUAUCUUGCAUCUGGGUUCUGAAACAAGAUUUUUCAUUGCACUACCAAAAUUUCUGAAAUAAAGAAAAAUCUAGAAAAGACAAGACAUUACAUGGCAUGGUGAUGAUCUAUGGCAUCAAUACUGUAUAUUUUAUGUCAUAUUUUUGAAAAUACUUUAUCAUAGAAAAUACUUCAAGAAAUUGUUCAGCAGUCUUCUUUUAUAUUAGCCUUCUUGGUACAUCAUCUUUUCCUAUAUAUUCUGCAGGUGAUUUUAUUCUCUAUUUUUGCUGCAAGGCAAAAGGGCAACUGAAUAUUUGGUAAAGGUUG